Molecule: ribosomal RNA, 428 nt
Filed under: uncultured bacterium
Lineage: Bacteria
Description: bacterial SSU rRNA
Rfam family: Bacterial small subunit ribosomal RNA
Source: RNAcentral
UGGGGAAUCUUGCGCAAUGGGCGAAAGCCUGACGCAGCGACGCCGCGUGGGUGAUGAAGGCCUUCGGGUUGUAAAGCCCUGUGGGGAGAGACGAAUAAGUCGGAGCCAAUACCUCCGGCGAUGACGGUACCUCCUUAGCAAGCACCGGCUAACUCUGUGCCAGCAGCCGCGGUAAGACAGAGGGUGCAAACGUUGUUCGGAAUUACUGGGCGUAAAGCGUGUGUAGGCGGCCGCGCAAGUCGGAUGUGAAAUCCCCGGGCUCAACCCGGGAAGUGCACCCGAUACUGCGUGGCUCGAGUACCGGAGAGGUUGGUGGAAUUCUCGGUGUAGAGGUGAAAUUCGUAGAUAUCGAGAGGAACACCGGUGGCGAAGGCGGCCAACUGGACGAGUACUGACGCUGAGACACGAAAGCGUGGGGAGCAAACAGG